Molecule: ribosomal RNA, 408 nt
Filed under: uncultured bacterium
Lineage: Bacteria
Description: partial 16S ribosomal RNA
Rfam family: Bacterial small subunit ribosomal RNA
Source: RNAcentral
GACGAACGCUGGCGGCGUGCUUAACACAUGCAAGUCGAACGGAGUGGCGAACGGGUGAGUAACACGUGGGUGACCUGCCCUGCACUUCGGGAUAAGCAUGGGAAACUGGGUCUAAUACCGGAUAGUGUGGGAUGGGACCGCGGGCUAUCAGCUUGUUGGUGGGGUAAUGGCCUACCAAGGAGGCGACGGGUAGCCGGCCUGGGAGGGUGGACGGACACAUUGGGACUGAGACACGGCCCAGACUGCUACGGUAGGCAGCAGUGGGGAAUAUUGCACAAUGGUCGGAAGCCUGAUGCAGCGACUCCGCGUGUGUGAUGACUGGCUUCGGGUUGUAAACUCCUUUCACCAUCGACGCGGUAGAUGGAGAAGAAGCACCGGCUAACUCCGUGCCAGCAGCCGCGGUAAUAC